This 673-nucleotide long non-coding RNA is filed under the name Phasianus colchicus (ring-necked pheasant). Its description in RNAcentral is "lncRNA (ENSPCLG00000009422.1)". The record is from RNAcentral. Lineage: Eukaryota; Metazoa; Chordata; Aves; Galliformes; Phasianidae.
AUGGAUGAUUUCCAUGUGUGCUUGGAUGCUGAAGCAGCCCAGAUGGAAAAGGAUGGCUGGCAGAAAGUGAGUUACCACUCAGGGAAAGCAAAGGCUGAACAACCAUGGCUCUCAAGACCAAGGAAGACAGUGUGGUGCAGAAUUCCCCAGGCAGCAUUUAUCUGCAAUGCUAUGCUCAUGCCCUAUGGCUCAGUGACACCAGUGUCUUCGUCAAGCCCCAGGACACUUCUGGACAUACCAAAUCAGUUCACUGACCAGCAUCACUUCAAGUUUUGCCAGCUAAUUUUCAUCCAGAAACUGCAUAAUCAUAAUCACGCUGCUGUCAUCCUCCUUUGAAGACAUUAGUUCUAGGAGAAUGCCUUCUCCAUUCUCUUGGCAGCUAAGCCUAUAGCACGUCAUCAUCUCCUCUACUCCUUGACCCUAAACAAAGACCCUGUUUUAUCGUAUGACCUCCUGGGUUUUUUUUCAUCUAAACUCUUUGCUCCAUAUUUUGAGCCACAUUAUUAUAGAUCCCAUGGAAUGUUUGAAUACCGCAAUGUUCAACUUCUCUUUUCAUGGCAUUGCUUCCUUAUGAAUACUGCAAGUAUAGUGGGGAAAAGAAUUGCUUGUCCUUGGGCCACCCUGAGAAACAACAUUAGCCUGCAAAUAAACGAAAUAAACGACAUGAAACUCA